Symphalangus syndactylus (siamang) is the source of this 2576-nucleotide long non-coding RNA. RefSeq lists it as uncharacterized. Lineage: Eukaryota; Metazoa; Chordata; Mammalia; Primates; Hylobatidae. The record is from RefSeq and is a predicted model, not a curated record.
CCAAGGAGGGGGUGCCCCCUGCAAGAGGCCCAUCCAUUACCAUCACAACAGCUGAUGUCACAGACCCUACAAAGCAGCUGGGGCCCCAAAUGCAGGGUAACCCUAACCCCACCAGCGAUUGAAACAGAUAGAGGGUAGCUCUCCCACACAAUGCCUGGCCCUCACUCCUCUCCUCCUCCUCCUUGCACUUCCUCAAGAGCCUUUGUCUUCUGGUCCCUAGGGCCUGUAGCCUCUCUCAUUCCCGGCAAACUCUGUCCAUUAAAUUCAAAAUGAGGCCUCUGGGGAAAGGGUUUGGCACUUUCUUUCCCUGCCUCCUCUUAUCUCCCACCAGCUAUUCCCCAUCUGCAUCUGCCUGGCAGGCAGAUAAGAAGCCCAGCUGUGAGAAAAGGGGCAAGGUGGUGACUGCUUCACAUCCUUCCCUGGGCUGUUUUGAUUUGCUUUGUUUUUCUGCCUCGGAGCACCCUACAGGGUUGCUGGUCCCUCUCUGGGCAAGGCCUUGGGCCGGAAGUCAUAACAGUCAGUGCUGAGGCUGUGGGAAAUGUUCUGGGGUGAGUCAGGUUGUUUGACUGUGAUGGCCCAAGUCUCUGUAAUGAACUCUGUCAUCUCCCCAACCAGCUGGAAGCGUCCAUAUUUUCAGGAGUGCAGAGUCCUCCUGUUCCCCCUCAGGACCCCAGCAUGCUGAGAGAAAGCCAGGAGCAGCGGUUUCACCGAUCUUUAGGUGUGACAUGGGGUUCAGGGGGAGGCUGCUGGAGAAGGUGGGUGGCAGACCAGCAGGGCUUGAAAAAUCUGUCAGAGCUCUAUGAGGCAAGGAGAAGAGUCACUGCUUAGAGCUUCUGGCUUUCCCCCACGGGGAGAGCUACAUGUCCGAAGGGAUUUGGUUAUUAUUCAGUACUUUAGUCAUGAAUCUUUCAUAGACAUUGAUGAAAGCCAUGAACUUUCUUUCCAGAAAAAAAUGGGUAGCAUGCACACAUGCAUGCAAACACACACACACACACACACACACAUCUGCGAGGGUUCUUGGACACCUGGUUAAGAACUCCCAAUAGAAGAAGGUAUAAGUUUUGGCACCAAAGCGAGAGUAGAGAAGGUUCCAUGUAGUGUUGAGGAUAGGCUGUCCUCAGAGCCAGGCGGCUGGCUGAUUUGAAAGACGUGUCCUUCUGUUUCAUAUACAGGUGCUUGGGGGGCAUGGCUAUCACCAACCCUGAAGUGGACUUGGGGAGAGGAUGUCAGGAGGCAGAGAAGCCCUGGACACUUUUGUCCAGCUCUCAGCCAUGAGGCAUGCUGUGGAAUUGGAAGGCUCUCGCCUGCUCUAGUCCUCAGUCCAGCUGAGUGGGGAUGCAAUGUCAGCCAUCCAGUUCACCAACCACAGCUGCACUGUGCAAAAGGGACGGAAGAACAAAAUACCCAUGAGACAACACCGUGGCUUUUGAAACAGGUAUGUAGGCUUUCUUGUUUAAUAGCAGUUAAAAGAGGAAAAUGUACAAGAGGGAUAAACAUGCUCUUUUCACAGAGGAGCUUUCCCAUCUGUAUCAGUAGCUUUACAAGUAAGUUUGAGAGAAAAAAGUUCCCUUUAGAGUUAAAAAUGGACUUUCCUAAUUUUCUCUAUAAGUGUGCAACUAUCUGUGCAAAAUAAAAACGCCAUUUCCAACACCUUUGUGAAAAGUAAUUGUGAAUGCAGGCAAAAAAAAGAAGAAGAAGAAGAGGCAAUUGCAGUCAAGAGAGGAGUCCUGGGAGAAGGGAGGCUAAGGUAGGGGAAUUUCUGUAGCAGUUCCUAGAGAGUGUGCUCAGAGGCCUCAUGAGGAAGGUCAUGGCCAAAGCCAAUCUUGGGAGAUAAAAGGCCGUGGGUCUGGGACUUGCUGAGUAAGCACUUGCCAAGUGUACAGUAAGGCUAGACUGACUUGGAGGACUGGUAUGCAAUGAGAACAUUGGGCAAUGCACCCUGGAAGCUGUACCUUCCCUUUGCCAACAGGAUCUCACUUCCUGGUUCGCAUUUUCAGGUCCUGUUCCUCCCUAGCUGCAACAGCUUCAUUUAUAGCCUGCUCAAAGAGAUUUUCCCCAUGAAUGUUAAAAUGAUGCAAGCAGCCUCUAUUACUACUGAAACCUAAUAGAGUCCCAAACUGCACUGUCCCUUCAGGAAUAUAGACCUGGUUUCCCCAAGAACUUGGCCAAGGGUUCAUCCUGACCAGAAGCCAUAUAGGCUUCUAGCCAUCUGUGUGCUUGCCCUCUUAUUGAGGCCCUCCAUGGUACUUCUACAUCUCUAGGAAUUUGAGGCCAUAUCUGAGGAGUCUGAUGGGUCUGGGCACACAUGCUUUGCACAAGUCCUCUCAAGGGUUCGCCCAGCUACAGGUUAUAGACAAAACUAAAAACAUCCCACUUUUCUACUUCAAAAACUUGACAUUGCUGGUCCCUGUUUUUACCUUCCCUGGCCUACCAAGAGUAUGUCUCUACAUACAACUCAGUAGCUGCAUGUUGCUUUUUGUUAGAUAAGGGUGAAGGCAGACUAAGAAUGGAGAGAAGAUAUAUCAAAGGGUCCAUCUUUAUAUCUUGAGCUCGAAUAAGCUUUUUCUUUCAUGGGA